CCCUAGCCCUGAUGGAAGCGGCAUCCUUUUGCUUUUUGGUUUAAAAAGCAAAAGAUAUAGCGCACAGCAGGUAUCUGC
RNAcentral lists this small RNA (78 nucleotides) under Flavobacterium crassostreae. Its description in RNAcentral is "Flavo-1 RNA". It matches the Rfam family "Flavo-1 RNA". Lineage: Bacteria; Pseudomonadati; Bacteroidota; Flavobacteriia; Flavobacteriales; Flavobacteriaceae. The record is from Rfam by way of RNAcentral.